RNAcentral lists this ribosomal RNA (388 nucleotides) under uncultured bacterium. Its description in RNAcentral is "bacterial SSU rRNA". It matches the Rfam family "Bacterial small subunit ribosomal RNA", at positions 29 to 402 of the family's 1533-position model. The record is from RNAcentral.
AACGAACGCUGGCGGCGUGCUUAACACAUGCAAGUCGAGCGGGAAAGUUUCCUUCGGGAAGCGAGUACAGCGGCAGACGGGUGAGUACAACGUAGGUAACCUACCCUCGAGACCGGGAUAACCUGUCGAAAGACGGGCUAAUACCGGAUAAGACCACAAGGGCUGCGGCCUUUGAGGUAAAAGAUGGCCUCUGCUUGCAAGCUAUCACUUGGGGAUGGGCCUGCGCGCCAUUAGCUAGNGGUGAGUAACGCUCACCAAGGCAAGAUGGCUAGCUGGUCCGAGAGGAUGGCCAGCCACACUGGGACUGAGACACGGCCCAGACUCCUACGGGAGGCAGCAGUGGGGAAUAUUGCGCAAUGGGCGAAAGCCUGACGCAGCGACGCCGCGU